This 706-nucleotide ribosomal RNA is filed under the name Staphylococcus warneri. Its description in RNAcentral is "bacterial SSU rRNA". It matches the Rfam family "Bacterial small subunit ribosomal RNA", at positions 70 to 759 of the family's 1533-position model. The record is from RNAcentral. Lineage: Bacteria; Bacillati; Bacillota; Bacilli; Caryophanales; Staphylococcaceae.
CAGAUAAGGAGCUUGCUCCUUUGACGUUAGCGGCGGACGGGUGAGUAACACGUGGAUAACCUACCUAUAAGACUGGGAUAACUUCGGGAAACCGGAGCUAAUACCGGAUAACAUAUUGAACCGCAUGGUUCAAUAGUGAAAGGCGGCUUUGCUGUCACUUAUAGAUGGAUCCGCGCCGUAUUAGCUAGUUGGUAAGGUAACGGCUUACCAAGGCAACGAUACGUAGCCGACCUGAGAGGGUGAUCGGCCACACUGGAACUGAGACACGGUCCAGACUCCUACGGGAGGCAGCAGUAGGGAAUCUUCCGCAAUGGGCGAAAGCCUGACGGAGCAACGCCGCGUGAGUGAUGAAGGUCUUCGGAUCGUAAAACUCUGUUAUCAGGGAAGAACAAAUGUGUAAGUAACUGUGCACAUCUUGACGGUACCUGAUCAGAAAGCCACGGCUAACUACGUGCCAGCAGCCGCGGUAAUACGUAGGUGGCAAGCGUUAUCCGGAAUUAUUGGGCGUAAAGCGCGCGUAGGCGGUUUUUUAAGUCUGAUGUGAAAGCCCACGGCUCAACCGUGGAGGGUCAUUGGAAACUGGAAAACUUGAGUGCAGAAGAGGAAAGUGGAAUUCCAUGUGUAGCGGUGAAAUGCGCAGAGAUAUGGAGGAACACCAGUGGCGAAGGCGACUUUCUGGUCUGUAACUGACGCUGAUGUGCGAAAG